UCCUUCUCCUCUAAGUGGAGAAAGGAGUAGGGACAAUAAAACAUAGUCCCAGUUGAUGUUCUCAUGUUACCCAGAACGGCCAGUCAGGUGAAGACUUUGGAACUCUGGACCCAAGACAACUCAGUUUUCUUUUCAUCAAGGAAUGAGGCAUGGGAUGCAGAAAAAGAAAUGCUGAUGAUUUAUCUGGGUUUAUUUUAUAUCCUGCAACUGAAGUGACAUCCACAUCCUGGCUGCAGAGGAGCCAACAGCAGAGAUUUUCAGAUGGCUUCCUUGAACUAUGAAGAACACAUCAGCAUAACAUUCUUAUACUCGGAAAGAUGGAAUUUCUAAGUGAUUAAUUGAGUCUUCUUGAAACAAUUCUCUAUACAAAAAGUUCUG
Non-coding RNA from Phascolarctos cinereus (koala), 378 nucleotides. Lineage: Eukaryota; Metazoa; Chordata; Mammalia; Diprotodontia; Phascolarctidae. The record is from RefSeq and is a predicted model, not a curated record.